UCUGAUACAUACAAUAUUGAUGGUGGGUCAUUAUUCCUUAAAGGAAAAGAUAUUUUUUUCCCUCGCAAGGGGUCCCCAUGUCUAACAAUUGAAGGCAUUCGAGACACCAAACAACAUCAAAUACAAAGAAGCAUCAUUGAAGUCCACUAGGCUUGAACAAUCUCCCCUCACCCGAAUGCAAUUAUAAUCAGAAAUCACAGCUAAAGAACCUUGGAUGGGUGUUGCUGUCAAACAGUGUUUUGGCAAUGCAAUUCUGCCAAAAACAUGAGUGCUCAAAUCGAAUGUCAAUACAUAACAUCUCCCUCUGACAUUAGAUACCACCUAGCAAUGUAACGCUCCAUUGACCAAACAUGAUUUUGAUAUCAAUUGUAAAGAUUUCACAAAUCAACUCGUCACAUAGAUGAGCUGACAUCAUGUGGUUGUGCUUUUUUCUAAGGCCAGGCAUAACUGCAAUACAAGUAAAAUAGAUUUAAAAAUAAACCACAUAAAGUUCUAAUGAAUACAAGAAGUAAAUCAAAUGGGUUGGUUCCAUCUUUUCAGGCAUUGUAUCAAACGCUUGAUGUGCAAAUAAAUAUUAAAACCAGGAAGAUGUUGAAAAGAUAAAUCAUAUAUGCUCAUAAACUAAUAUGGAGUUAUUCUGCUCAAUCCCAUAACCUGUGAAAAAGAAAUCCUAAUGGUUAUUGAUUUAAGAAACCAUCUUGUAACAUGGGUCAUUAAACUCAUAGACGCCUUCCCAUGUUUGUUUGCAAUGUUAUCUCACCAAACAGCUGUGUAUAUCAGUCACAGUAAACUGGGUUAAAAUACAUCAACGACUUCUAAUCUCGUUCUUUCUAAACAAGCUAAUCUGGCUCAAAAAAAUUGAUGGUUUCGACUUUAAAUGACAACAAAAACAUUCAUACCUUCAUCACAUGUCUAUUAAGAUGGUUAUUCGAAUGAUGUGCUAAAGAACCUAGAUAAAUAUUGUCCAAAUAUGAUCCCCUUUUCACCUAAUCUCCUUACAAUUUCCUCACUGCUAACUUUCGUUCGGAUUCU
Molecule: long non-coding RNA, 1032 nt
Filed under: Lactuca sativa (garden lettuce)
Lineage: Eukaryota; Viridiplantae; Streptophyta; Magnoliopsida; Asterales; Asteraceae
Description: long non-coding RNA (LSAT_LNC004722)
Source: RNAcentral